RNAcentral lists this ribosomal RNA (58 nucleotides) under Lactarius aurantiacus. Its description in RNAcentral is "partial 28S ribosomal RNA". The record is from RNAcentral. Lineage: Eukaryota; Fungi; Basidiomycota; Agaricomycetes; Russulales; Russulaceae.
UUGACCUCAAAUCGGGUGAGACUACCCGCUGAACUUAAGCAUAUCAUAAGCGGAAGAA